ACUCCUACGGGAGGCAGCAGUGAGGAAUAUUGGUCAAUGGGCGCAAGCCUGAACCUGCCAUCCCGCGUGCAGGAAGACGGCCCUAUGGGUUGUAAACUGCUUUUCCAGGGGGAGAAUUUUUCUGUCGUGACAGGAAUUGACGGUACUCUGGGAAUAAGCAUCGGCUAACUCCGAGCCAGCAGCCGCGGUAAUACGGAGGAUGCGAGCGUUAUCCGGAUUUAUUGGGUUUAAAGGGUGCGUAGGCGGAUUGAUAAGUCAGUGGUGAAAACCUGCAGCUUAACUGUAGACUUGCCGUUGAUACUGUCAGUCUUGAGUGUGGUCAAGGUAGGCGGAAUGUGUAAUGUAGCGGUGAAAUGCUUAGAUAUUACACAGAACACCGAUUGCGAAGGCAGUUUACUGGGCCAUUACUGACGCUGAUGCACGAAAGCGUGGGGAUCGAACAGGAUUAGAUACCCUGGUAGUC
RNAcentral lists this ribosomal RNA (463 nucleotides) under uncultured bacterium. RNAcentral describes it as "bacterial SSU rRNA". It matches the Rfam family "Bacterial small subunit ribosomal RNA", at positions 335 to 795 of the family's 1533-position model. The record is from RNAcentral.